Molecule: ribosomal RNA, 447 nt
Filed under: uncultured bacterium
Lineage: Bacteria
Description: partial 16S ribosomal RNA
Rfam family: Bacterial small subunit ribosomal RNA
Source: RNAcentral
AGCGAACGCUGGCGGCAGGCUUAACACAUGCAAGUCGAACGGUCCUUCGGGAUAGUGGCGGACGGGUGAGUAACACGUGGGAACGUACCCUUAGGUUCGGAACAACACAGGGAAACUUGUGCUAAUACCGGAUAAGCCCUUCGGGGGAAAGAUUUAUCGCCUUUGGAGCGGCCCGCGUCUGAUUAGCUUGUUGGUGAGGUAAUGGCUCACCAAGGCUACGAUCAGUAGCUGGUCUGAGAGGAUGGCCAGCCACACUGGGACUGAGACACGGCCCAGACUCCUACGGGAGGCAGCAGUGGGGAAUCUUGCGCAAUGGGCGAAAGCCUGACGCAGCCAUGCCGCGUGGAUGAUGAAGGUCUUGGGAUUGUAAAAUCCUUUCAUCGGGGACGAUAAUGACGGUACCCGGAGAAGAAGCCCCGGCUAACUUCGUGCCAGCCGCCGCAGUAA